CUUUAUUGCACUUUUCUUUGCUGUUGUAACAAAUUACUCGACCUACAGCAGUUGGCCGAGUAUCCCUGUGAAUUAGUCACUGGAUAACCAGGGAAUUUAUUCAGUGAAUAAAUAUAUAAGAUCAUAGUUUGUUAGUUUUACAGUUCAUGGUUAUUACAUACAUUUUACAAACUAUAUUGUUUCAUAAUUACGGAAAGUGUACAGUUUUGUCCGGUUUUGUUUCUAAAGAUUAAAACUUUAUGAUCGUUGACCUUUAACCUUAUUGAUGAAAACCGUUGAAGCUUGUUGAUCAAUUGUCCGGAUUAAUUUAUAUGUUUUAUUGAUACACACGAACAACUUAAACUUUAGUUAAAAAUUACAUGUGGUAAGUUUCGACGUUGUAGUUGGAAAUUCAUUUGAUUAAGUGAUAAAGUGUGUAUAAAAGUAUUUUGAGACAAAAUUCUGUACAUUUUCACAAAGCAUGCUGUUUUGGUAUAUUACCACGUGCUCAGAUAUAUUGUCAACUUUUGCUACACAAAUUCUAUACAUAAAAAAAAAAAAUAUUGUAUUUAGCUAUUCAUGAUCAAAUGUAUCUUUUUACAUCAUUUAAAAAUUUGCUGUUUUUAGCAUUAAUAUAUAUGUUGAUUUCGUAUGUGUUUAAAAAUUCAUUUCUGAAAACUGUAUAAGCGUCUAUGUCUUUUUGUUUAUAAUUUGAUAUAUGAGUGUUUUUAUGAAUUGAAUAUAAUAAGACAGUAAGGAAGAGAUUUAUAUCAUUAUACAUAGGAUCAUGUAUUUUAUAGCCCAGUACUAAAGUUUUAAAAUUAAAAAUAUGUGACCCAAUUUUGAUUUUGCUUACAAGUACAUAUAUUUUCUUCCAAAAUUCAUGAAAGAAUUGUCAUUUGAGAAAAAAGUGUUCGUAAUCUUCAGUCACAUUACACAAGUCACACAUACUUGUUUCUUGUAUGUGCCAUUGUAGUAAUUAUUGUUUACAUGGUAGGAUGAAAUGGAGUAAUUUCCAUCUUAACAUUUUAUAUUUGUUAUUAAUUAAAUAGGUAAAAGUAAAUUGAAGCACAUUAUUUAUUGGAGUGAUUGAUUCUAGAUUGAAGAUGUUUUUCCAUUUGGAGAACCCUAGUGGUCUCUCCUCAUUUUUGUUAUUUAAAUAGUUAUAUAUAUAUCUUUGGAUGACAUGUUUUCAAUUAGUUCUGUUUUUUUGUUAACAAUCAAGGACAAGUUUAAUUUUGUUUUUACAGACGUUUUCAAAGAUUUGUCAGAUUUUAAUGUACUAACCCAUUCUUUUGGAAUACAAUUUUUCAAUUUUAAAAGUUCUGAGAUCCAAUUGGUUUUUGAAGUUAGUUUCUCCAAUAUAAGUUUUUGUGAUAUGUGCCCUUUUUGGUCAAUUAUAUCAUUAAUGAAAAUAAUACCAUCUUUUAUCCAAUUUGGGUAAACUAAACAUUUUCCUUUAAAUUUUAUAUUUUUAUUACCCCACAACAUUUGCUGCCUAAUAUUUCUAAAAUUUAUGAUAGGUGUAUAACUUGUUGGUGUAUUAUAUGCUUCAUACCAGCUCUUUAAUAUGUUCAAGUAAAAUGUGGGUAGAACAUUACUUAAAUUAGGUAAUGAUUUUAUGUUGUCAGGCAUCAUAUGAAAUAUAAGGUUGUUUUUACCAAAUUUAUUGAAAUAAUAUGUUGGAAUGACUUUCCAAUUAGCAAAUUCUUUUGCCGUUAAUCGUUUAACCCAUGAAAUAUUUAGUGCAUUUAAGAAGCAAUCAAUGUCUGUCAUUUUUAGACCUCCAUUUGUGUAAUCUUUGGUAAGUGUUGAACGUUUUACCUUUUCUUGUUUAUUAUUCCAUAUAAAAUUAUAAACAAGUUUUUUAAAAUCUUUUAUGUACAUUUGGGGUAUUGAAACAACCGAAGCCAAAAAAGUAAGAUUAGGUAAAAUAAGCGACUUAACAACUGUUAUUCGUCCUAUCAUGGUUAAAUUUCUUUUUCCCAAUCAAGUAUUAAUUUUUUUGUCUGUUUCAUUUUUUUUCAAUAUUUAAUUUGUCACAUUCACUUUUAUCUAAUCCAAAGUAAACACCUAGACUUUUAAUUGGUUCUUUGCUCCAGUGUAUAUUUUCCAUUUUUUCUUUACAAUGUUUAAGUCUACCUAACCAUAUACCUUCUGUUUUAGAUUUAUUCAGUUUCAAACCAGAAAGUGUUCCAAAUAUUUCUAUUAGGUUUAAUGCUUGGUGUAUUUCAUUUUUUGAACUGAGAAAGAGUGUUGUGUCAUCAGCCAAUUGGGAAAUUUUUAAACUGUGCGUUUUUUCAUCAAGUUUAAUUUGAAACCCUUUAAUGUUUGAAUCUUGUCUUACUCUACAGGCCAGGAUUUCAACUGCCAUAACAAAAAUAAGAGAACUUAACGGACAUCCUUGUUUUAUACCACGGUGAAGACUGUAGGUUUCUGAAAUCCAGCCGUUAUUAGACAGGCAUCCUUUAGUAUCAUUGUAUAACGUUUUAACCCAUUUUAAGAAGGAGUGUGGUAUUCCAAAUUUUAGUAGAGAUUCAUACAUGAAGGGCCAUUCUAAAGAAUCAAAGGCUUUGGAAAAGUCUAUGAACAAUAAAACCCCAUCUAUAUUAAAUUUUUCUGAGUAGUCUAUAAUAUCUUGAAUCUGGCGAAUUUAAAAAUGAAUUAAUGUUAAAACCUAUGUACCGAUUUUUUAUAUAUCCAUUCUGAUCCAUAUGAUGCUAUGAAUAAUUUGGACAACACCAUCUUUAAUCUUUGCGCUAAGGCAUAGGCCAUAAGCUUAGUGUCUACAUUUAAUAAAGUGAUUGGCCUGUAGUUAUCUAAUGAUAAUGGAUCAUUUUUUUUAUAUAAUAAGGAGAUAACACCUAUUUUUUGGAGAGUUGUCAUUUCUUCUUUUUCAUAACAUGUAUUAAAUACUUUCACUGCAGAUUCUUUUAGGUAUGACCAAAAUGUUCGAUAAAAUUCUACACUGAGACCAUCUAGUCCAGGGGAUUUAUUUAGUUUCAUGUUAAAUAUAGCAUUUGUACAUUCUUCUAAUGUUAGGUUGCCCCCCAAUAGUUCACUGUCACUAUUGGAUAGUGAGUGAUCUAUCUUUGUUUGACUUGUAUAAUUUUUUAUUUCUGAAGGGUCCGGUUUAGUACUUUUAUACAAAUUUUGGUAGUAAUUUUUCCCUAGAAUAAGAAUAUCCGACGCGUCUGUAACAAUAUUACCAUGGUCAUUUCUAAGGGCGGAAAUGGUUUUCUUGGUUUGUCUUGAUUUUUCAAGACCCAAAAAAUAUUUUGUGUUUUUUCCCCUUCCUCUGCCCAUCUGACUCGGGAUCUAAUUUGUGCACCUCUAGUUUCUUUUACAUAUAAAUUUUGUAAAUUGUUUUUCUACAUUAUUUAUUUCUUUUUUAAGAUGUUGAGAAUUACUUGAUUUUUCAUUUAAGAAUUUCAACUUAUUUUCUAAAUGUUUAAUUUCAUUUUUACUUUCAGCAGCCUUUUGUUUGCAGUAUGCAAUGGUUACCUCCCUUACUUCAGUUUUGAAAAUGUCCCAAGUAACUCGAGGAUCAUUAUUUUUGGUGAGUAUUUUUUCUUGAUGAGUAUCAAUUAGUUUAAUUAUUAUUUCUUUGUAUUUUGUAUCAUUCAGUAUGCUGUUAUUUAUCUUAAAGAAUCCUUUGCCUUUAUUUUGAGCUUUAAGUCUUAUUUGUACAGAGAUUGCUUGAUGAUCUGUAUGUGAUAUUAGUGCAGGUCUUAUGUCUGCUGAUAUUAUGUGAGGUCUUAUAUCUGGGCUUAUUAGAAAAAAAUCAAUUCUGCUUGCAACACUUCUAUUGUUUUUUCUUCUCCAUGUAAAUUGACUGCUGUUUUGAUUUAGUUCUCUCCAAAUAUCAAUAAGUUUAAAUUUUUUUAUAAGUUGCUUUAAACUGUUAACAGUUUAUUUGAUUAUUAGGGCUAAUACUUUUUCUAUCAAAUGAAGUUAAACUUUCAUUCAUAUCACCCCCCAUUAUUAAUAUUCCUAAGCGGUUAUUGUUAAUGAUAUUGUUUACUUUUUUGAAAAAAGAGUUUCUAUUUCGACGAAUGUUCGGAGCAUAUACAUUCAGUAGCGUGAAAAUAUACCAUCAAGUUCUAUGUUAAUGAGUAUUAUUCUUCCAUCAUUAUCUCUAGUUUCAUUAAUAGUUUUAUAUUUUAUGUUAUCUUUUAUAAGAAUUGUUACGCCUCUUGAUUGUGAAUUUCCGAAACUAUGGUAAGUUCCCUUUUAUCUCAAUGUUAUGACAUUUUCAUGUUUUCAAUAAGUGUGAUUCUUGUAUGAAUAAUAAUUACAUUUUUGGUUUUUGCACCAUAGGUUUAAUCUUUCUCUCUUUUCUUUUUGCCCUAAGCCUUGACAGUUUAAGGAACAUAUAUUUAGUUUUUCACUCAUUAUAGAGAUUAAUUAUUUUUAUAUUACACGUCAUACACGUAUCUUCAGAAUUAUACAAUAGAGACAGAAGGUUGAGCUUAAAAAGUAAAUAAGUUGAUAUCAUAUUGUUAAUAUACACACUGAAAUUGUUUACAAACACAUAUAAAUUAUACACAUAUAAAUUGUACACAUAUAAAUAAUAUAGAUAACAGUUGAAUUUUAUUUCUAAAUUACAUAGUAUCAUGUGUUUAAAACCAACAUUAAUCAUGAUGAUGAAUUUUAUGUUGUGUGUGAUAAUCAUAUACUUGUUCACAUGUUUGUUUAAGAAAAAGAAAAAAGAAAUCAUUGUUACGUUUAUUUUCUUUUUCAGGUUGAUGUGUCUGUUGCAUAGAACAUGUAGAAGAGAUUUUGUAUUUUGCGCAAAUUUACUUUUGGGAUUUUCAUGAUACACAAAUAGGAGUAUUUUUCUCACAGCGUUAUGAAGACUGUGAUUUUGGAUAUAAAGUAGAAGCAUAAUGAUAUGACAACUGAACCAUGAUGACUGGAUUUUCCUGUUCUCUUUGCUCAACAAUUUUAUUUUGAUUUUGAAUAUCCUAUGAAUAUUGAGAAGGAAGUGUACAAGAAAAUUAAAUAUUUGUGCAGUGUAUAAUGUACAUUUGAUUGGAAUUAACAAGCAUAACAGUAUUGGAUUUGUGAUAGUAUUUGGAUUAUGUCUGUGUGAAAAUGUGAUUCUAGAAUUUUCCUGAUCUAAUCUGAGUGUCUUAGCAUAAGGAACUGCUGAUGUACAUGUAUCAUAACUCUUUUUAUGCAUAAUGUUUUUUUGGCGGAUAACGUUUACAAAACAUUUGAUAGUUGUGAUCCAGCUUUUAUUAUGACAUUUAGUUGAUAGAUAUAUAGAAAUUUGUUUGCCGUUAAAUAGAUUGUGAAUUUUUAAAAGAUGAG
Molecule: long non-coding RNA, 5295 nt
Filed under: Mytilus galloprovincialis (Mediterranean mussel)
Lineage: Eukaryota; Metazoa; Mollusca; Bivalvia; Mytilida; Mytilidae
Source: RNAcentral